RNAcentral lists this microRNA precursor (76 nucleotides) under Myotis lucifugus (little brown bat). Its description in RNAcentral is "mir-9229 microRNA precursor family". It matches the Rfam family "mir-9229 microRNA precursor family". The record is from Rfam by way of RNAcentral. Lineage: Eukaryota; Metazoa; Chordata; Mammalia; Chiroptera; Vespertilionidae.
GAGACACCCCUCCAGGGCAUGACUUGCUUCAGUGGGGCUUUGGUGCUCACUGAGUCUGCCCCCUGAGUGUGUCCUU